AUUCAUAUUUGUGGCAAUUUAUGGAAAAUUUUACAAAAAAAAAAGUGUUUUAAGAAAACAUUAUAAAUUUUUAACAAUUUAAUUGAAGUGACAAAAUUCAAAAAGAAACAAAAUCUAAAUAACAAACCCUUAAGUUGUUGAGAGUUUUUCCCCUCUUCCAACUCUACAACUACACAAACACACACAAAAUAUUUUAAAAUUCAAAUGUUUUGAAAGAAAAUUAUAAUUUUCAAUUAAAAAAUGAAAUCAAUGACGUGGACAAAAACAAGUAGCAGCAGUGAAAAUCACAACAUUCUAAUGCAAUUUUACUGUCAACGUCAAAGACAAGGCAACAAUGCUAAAAAAACAUGGCGAAAGAAGUUAAAUUAUCAGAUCUAUCCAUGCAUCCAUCCAUAUAUCCAGCCAGGCAUACAUUUUACCAGCCAAAUUUCAAUUGUUUCGCGUGUGUGUGUAUUAGUAUAGAGAAGAAGAAAAAAAAAGAAAACACUAAAGUUUUAUGAGCGAAUGUUUUGGGGCAAUAUAGGUUACGCAUAUAAGUGAAUGAUGAUGGUGCACAACUCAUACCCGGGAUGCAUUUAAUGUCAAAGUACAAAUGGCAGCAACAACAACAUCAGCAUCAAUAAAUGUAGAAAAUGACUUUGACAUGCGCAACUGCACUUGAACCUGAAAUUUUAAUUUCGCCAAUGGCUGGGUGGGUGACCGUUUAUACACACACACACGCACACACUUAACCAAUAACAAUAACGGCCCACCACUAUAUUGAAAGUGAAAUUUGUUGGAAAUAGAAAGUGCAAGUGUAUUAACAACAACAGGAAUGUUACAAUUUGGUUUGGCAGCUUUGUUUUGGAAAUUUAAGUUACACACACAGAAGAAGCAACAAAAUCAA
This is a long non-coding RNA of Lucilia cuprina (Australian sheep blowfly), 886 nucleotides long. RefSeq lists it as uncharacterized. The record is from RefSeq and is a predicted model, not a curated record. The transcript is spliced from 2 exons. NCBI's taxonomy places the organism in Eukaryota, Metazoa, Arthropoda, Insecta, Diptera, Calliphoridae.